RNAcentral lists this ribosomal RNA (253 nucleotides) under uncultured bacterium. RNAcentral describes it as "partial 16S ribosomal RNA". It matches the Rfam family "Bacterial small subunit ribosomal RNA", at positions 524 to 776 of the family's 1533-position model. The record is from RNAcentral.
CACGUAGGGCGCAAGCGUUGUCCGGAAUUAUUGGGCGUAAAGAGCUCGUAGGCGGUCUGUUGCGUCCGCUGUGAAAACUCGGGGCUUAACCCCGAGCCUGCAGUGGAUACGGGCAGACUAGAGGUAGGUAGGGGAGAAUGGAAUUCCCGGUGUAGCGGUGAAAUGCGCAGAUAUCAGGAGGAACACCGGUGGCGAAGGCGGUUCUCUGGGCCUGAUCUGACGCUGAGGAGCGAAAGCGUGGGGAGCGAACAGG